GCGGAGGAAAAGAAACCAACAGGGAUUGCCCUAGUAACGGCGAGUGAAGCGGGCAACAGCUCAAAUUUGAAAUCUGGCCCUAGGCCCGAGUUGUAAUUUGUAGAGGAUGUUUCUGGCGAAGUGCCUUCCGAGUUCCCUGGAACGGGACGCCAUAGAGGGUGAGAGCCCCGUACGGUUGGAUGCCUAGCCUCUGUGAAACUCCUUCGACGAGUCGAGUAGUUUGGGAAUGCUGCUCUAAAUGGGAGGUAUACGUCUUCUAAAGCUAAAUACCGGCCAGAGACCGAUAGCGCACAAGUAGAGUGAUCGAAAGAUGAAAAGCACUUUGAAAAGAGGGUUAAAUAGUACGUGAAAUUGUUGAAAGGGAAGCGGUUAUGACCAGACUUGGACAGGUUGAUCAUCCACGGUUCUCUGUGGUGCACUCUGCCUGUUCAGGCCAGCAUCAGUUCGCUUCGGGGGAUAAAGGCUUUGGGAAUGUGGCUCCCUCGGGAGUGUUAUAGCCCAUUGUGUAAUACCCUGAUCCGGACUGAGGUUCGCGCAUCUGCAAGGAUGCUGGCGUAAUGGUCAUCACCGACCCGUCUUGAAACACGGACCAAGGAGUCGUCUUCGUAUGCGAGUGUUCGGGUGUCAAACCCCUACGCGGAAUGAAAGUGAACGUAGGAGAGAGCUUCGGCGCAUCUCCGACCGAUCCUGAUGUUCUCGGAUGGAUUUGAGUAAGAGCAUACGGGGCCGGACCCGAAAGAAGGUGAACUAUGCCUGUGUAGGGUGAAGCCAGAGGAAACUCUGGUGGAGGCUCGCAGCGGUUCUGACGUGCAAAUCGAUCGUCAAACAUGGGCAUGGGGGCGAAAGACUAAUCGAACCUUCUAGUAGCUGGGUUUCCGCCGAAGUUUCCCUCAGGAUAGCAGUGUUGAACUCAGUUUUAUGAAGGUAAAGCGAAUGAUUAGGGACUCGGGGGGCUAUAUAUUGCCUUCAUCCAUUCUCAAACUUUAAAUAUGUAAGAAGCUCUUGUUGCUUAAUUGAACG
RNAcentral lists this ribosomal RNA (1020 nucleotides) under Clonostachys pityrodes. RNAcentral's name for it is "LSU rRNA". It matches the Rfam family "Eukaryotic large subunit ribosomal RNA", at positions 50 to 1101 of the family's 3401-position model. The record is from RNAcentral. Lineage: Eukaryota; Fungi; Ascomycota; Sordariomycetes; Hypocreales; Bionectriaceae.